GGAGGGGCAGGCAUUGGGCACCGUGGGAUCAGCUGGGGAGCCAUCCACGCUGGCACAGACCUCCCCCAUUUCUCACCAGCACUGACAGGCUGAUAACUGUUUUCCAAGCUCCCGGGGAGGAAAAUUGUGAUUUUCUGGGAGGGGCGACCUCUAGCCAACAGUGAUCAAGGGAAAGAGGAAAAGUGUGGGUUUGUUUAUUUACCCAGCACACUAACCAUCCAUCUCACUAACAGAGCGCGGGGUGAGGCGCUGGUGCUGAGUUCCCUGAGUGGCCCCCUCUCCAACCCCCAGCGGCACCAUUCUCUUACCCAUCCCUUCUCCCUGGUUCCUUUCCGGCCCUGAGAAGACCCUAACAGCCCGUGGUCAGCAGGAAGGGGCCACAAACUCCUCUGUGAGCCUCUAAUUCCUCGCCCAGGCUUGGGCGCCCUGGGAGCACCUGCCUCAGGGGCGUGGGCACGGAUUCAAGCAGCUCAGCAGGUGGGAAGUUUGAAGGACGGGGCGGGGCGCAGUAGAGGCAAGGCAGCACUGUCUUGCAAUGUUCGAUGGAUAAUGUGUGGAAUCUGCUCAGAUUUAUACAACCUGUGUCAAGCCCUAGAUGAGCUACAGGAAAAUAACUGCAAGAGUUAGGCCAAGACCUUCAGGGAGAGGCCAGGAGAUAGCUCAAACAAGAGGCUCUGCAGGCCAGGGAGGGCCAGGACACUCCACAGCCGGAGCGCAGCAAAUGUGUGCAGGGAGGGACCCUGCCGUGGCUGAGGCGGGGCCUCUGGGGCCGCUGGAACCUGCGACCGUCUUCGUGAGCCUGGAGAAAGAGUAAAAGGUUGAGUCCUGAGUACACACCAGACAUGAAUCUGAGGGGGUGAAGCUGGCCCACUGCGAUGAUGCACCAAAGGACAAGCAUGAGGCACUACCCAGAGGCUGGAACAGGGCAAGGAAUGAGACCCACCAGCAGCCCUCCCGGUGGCAUCCUGAGGGGACAGGGGACAAUCACCCGGUGGCCAAAGGCAGGUCCCCCAAAAUUUCAGGUUGUGUCAAAUGUGAUGAGGAGAUAAAGGUGGU
Molecule: long non-coding RNA, 1056 nt
Organism: Talpa occidentalis (Iberian mole)
Lineage: Eukaryota; Metazoa; Chordata; Mammalia; Eulipotyphla; Talpidae
Exons: 3
Source: RefSeq, a predicted model, not a curated record